CGCCCGCCGUGUGCUGUGAGCGGGACGGCGGCGCAUGCGCGGCGCGGAGAAAGGCUCUGUGGGAGCUGUAGUUCGCGGCUCUGUAGGCCCCGUAGGCCUCUGUGCGGCGGCUUGUCAGACUCCUGUGGACUGAUAACAUCAGGCUUUUGAGAUUUGUUUUCCUGAGUUUGUUCAGCAACUAUUGCACUAACAACACCCAUUGCAAGAGAUCCCGUCUGCUGAGCUUCUCAUUAGGUCUGUGAGUUACGUCCCAGCCUUAAAGAGACUCAGAGUGCUUGACAGUCACCUAUGGUGCCCAGAUUUGGGUGUCCGGUGCCAUUUUAGGCAGCUUUGGCUACCUGGGAUGUCAGUGCAGAGCUGGUAGAUGUGACGUGGGACCUACAGGACGCCCUCGCUCCGUGUGAUGGCAGCCAGAGGCCUGGCUUCAGCUUGAGAUCCAGCGUGGCACCAUGAACCUCCAUGGCCCUACUUGCCCCAGCAGGACUGCUCAAGGAACAAAUCAGCUUUCAGGACACAGGUGGAGGAUGGACCCCACAAGGGAACCUAGCCAGGCUGCAAGGACAACACCGUUGUGAUCUGACAGAGCAGACAGCCCUUGUGUUCAGGCUGCUUGCAGUCCCAUGUCUGAAGGAUCGUGCUGCAAAGCAAGUCAGCUACCUGCAGGAGCACAGAGAGGAGCUUAGUGAGUCGGACCAGGCUGUGAGGGAGUGGUGGAGCUGCCUGUCCUGCCUGUCCAGCCGAUGCUGACCCAGGAGCUUGCACAUUUUGGGGGCAUUUUUAUCCAUGUAUCUGAGGCACAGUGUUCAUCUCCUCACGUUAAUCUCAUGGGAAGGCAGGGCAGCUUUCAGACAGUGGCAUUCUCCUGACAAAGCCCAGCCCUCCCAUCCUGCGCUUUGCACUGAUGGAAGAACCAUAUCCAGAUGAAGCAGCCGGAGCCCCCGGGGAAGAUGGGCUGCCUUCUCCCUUCUCCCUCACUUACAGAUGCCACAUCCCAUCUCAUUUAUGUUAUUAAAAUGAUUUCCGUGGGGUCACCUUCUGCUUCACGCCUGAAACGAUCUAGAAAAUUAAGCUCUUCCUGUUGUGGCAUUUCAAUUUCAAUUGUGGAUUUUAAACCUGCCCUCUCUCCUUGGUUCUUUGAUUUUGUACAGCCAGCAAGUGCAUCAGAUGUUGAUAAAAACAACUCACAGACACAUCGGCUUAUGUGAUGUUCCGAUGAGCGAGGUGGAUGACAACAAACACACAGUACUUCAGGCCCCCACUGGGUCUCUCUCCAUUUUCUUCACAGAGAACCUAACUAACCUGCAGUGUGGAGUAGAAAGAGGUUGCAUCAAAAGAACAUCUGCACAUUGGCACAGCAAUGAGCUUAGGCAGUUGCACCCAGUGGUGAAACAGCUUUAAUCCUUUUUCCACGUGCAAAAAUUAUGCAUCUUGUAAAGGGAUGCUCUCAUUAAAGUCAGACCUGACAGGUUGUGUGACAUCUCAUAGGUUUCAUCUAAACCAGUUCUGCACAGGUGAGCUUGGCAGAAAGCAUGUGGAUUGUUGGACUUGAUGAUCCUUAUGGGUCCCUUCCAACUGGGGAUAUUCUAUGAUUCUAUGAUUCUGUGACUGUGCAAGGUGAAGUGCUGGACUUCUUUAGAAAGUGUAAUUCCAAUUGCUGUGCUUUGUGGGCAUGAAUGCUGCCAGGAGUGAGUAAUUCUUGGUGUGGGACACGUAUUAUGCAGUAAACAUGCAAACUGAUACAUGGGAAAUGGAUUCUUUCCUUUGAGCUUGAUUUAUACGUGCAAAUUCUAUGCAAUUGUUGGUUGAUCAUUGGCUUGCUUUAUUAUCAGCCUGAAAGAGGUCACUGUUGUAUGGAGAGCUAGCACAGCCAAGAGUUACAUUCACCAGCAGCAUAACAUUUUAAGCAUUCAAAAGCUUGCAGCCUGACAAAACUAACCUUCAUAGCAUCGGUACUGGGCUUUCUUAUAUCUCUUCCCAAGUCAGAUGGUACUGGCUCCUUUCUUGGAAAGAGCACCAGGUAAGGAGGCCCAAGGGGUUUUUCCUGAUGCUG
Molecule: long non-coding RNA, 2050 nt
Filed under: Gallus gallus (chicken)
Lineage: Eukaryota; Metazoa; Chordata; Aves; Galliformes; Phasianidae
Description: long non-coding RNA NONGGAT003922
Source: RNAcentral